GAAAACGCAGCAGCGACGACAACGACAAAGAGCCUAGAAAAGGGGGAGACGGACCGCUUUCUUCCUCUGCUGCUGCUCCUCCUCGGCGGCCGAGCGCAGAGAAUUCGAGGCAAUGCGACCCUUCCCUCCUCAGCGGAAGUCAUAGCUGAUGGCGCCGAGGCGCAAGAAGUGGACGGAGGAGGAGGAGCGUUCACUCCUCGACAAGUACGCCGAGAUGGCGGCCGACGGAUCCAUCUCGCGCCUACGCACCCGGGAGCGCCGAUUCCGGCCCAUCGCCGCCCACGUCAACGCCGCUCACCACGCCGCCGACCCUGCCGCCUACCCCUUCCUCUGGUCCUGGAAGGACGCCGCCAACAAGGUCCACAACAUGCGCCACCAGUACCUCCUCGUCAAGCGCAAGCUACUCCUCCUCAACCCUCCCCCUACCUCAUCCUCAUCCUCCGCCGUCGCCGCCACUGCCGCCGUCGAUUGGGACGAGCAAGGCCUCUCCCGCUGGUCCAACUUCCUCCGCUACCGCUCCGUCUUCGGCGACGCCCCCUUGCCCUUGACCGACCCCGCCCCUGCUCCCGGGGAAGCUUUCGACAACGAUGGCGAGCUCGCCCUAGGGUUAGCCUUCGACGACUGCGCUGAAGGCGGAAGCGGAGAAGGAGCCGAUCAGGACGUCGGCGAUGACGAGGGUUUUGAUUUCGAUGAUGUGGCCCCUGUCGCAGGCUCUGUGCCACAGCAGCCCGCGCGACCUCUGGCGGUGAAUAUGGGAAGGAUGAAGCGGAGGAAGAAGACGCGGGCUGAGCGGCGGCGAGCACUGGCGGCUUGGAAGGAGUGGGAGGCAAAGAUGGAGGACAGGGAGGCUCAGUGGGAGAGAGCGAGGUUAGAAAGGGAACGGGCAGAGGUGGAGGCGGAGAAGGAGAGGGAGCAGGAAAGGAGACAGGUGCAAAGACAGCGGAGGGAGGAGGAGAUAGAGUGGGAGGAGCGUAUGGAGGGGAGGAGAGCGGAGUGGAGGAAGCGGAUGGAGGGGAUGCUGAGGGAGCACCGAGUUGAGAUGGAGCAGAUUCAGGCAAGGAUCAUUCACGAGCAGCAGAGCGUGGUUGGGCAGCUUCUGGGAGUGCUAUCACAAUGGGCGGCGAGCCCUGUUUUUGGAGGGCUCUCAGAUGCCACUGGUGGUGGCACUGCUUUGGGACAACACCAUCACCACCAACAUCAGCCACACCACCAGGCUGUACCCUAUCUGUCUCAGAUGGUGCAUGGGUUGCACCAUGUGAAUGGUAUCGUUCCAGGAGAGAAUCGGGUUGAUGGGGAUGGACAUGAGGAUCAUUUCAUCGUUGAUGAUUGACUAAAAUUAGGGCUUCGGAUCUCUUUAUAUGAAUGGAGGUUGUAAACGGAUCACUCAGAUACAGAAUUGUGUUGGCAGGCACAUGCAGGAGAACAAGUAUCGAGAAUUAAUUAUCAGAGUUGGAAAUUUGUAAAUGGCUUCAUGCUGGACUGGAGAUAUUAUAGGUGGAUCUUGAUGCGUACUAGGUCUGUCUGAUCAUCAUUCUUUCUAUUCUCAGCUGUAAGAUUUUGAACACGGGAUGAGCAUCUCGUUGUGCUGGCACCAGGUUUGUUAUUGAUCCUCAAAAGAUGUUUCCUACCAGUAGCAUAAGUUCACCAGUCCUCAUCUGAUUACUUGUAUGUUUUUGACCUGUGACUUGUGUGCAAGUAUAGUUAGGCAUUUUUCUCUCAAAUUGUUCUCUUCUUGUUGACGGCAUCUCUGUAUUGCUACCUCCUGCUUAUGGUAGUCGGCUAGCAGUGAAAAAUACAAGCAUGUAUCUCAACUGAAGGGACAUGCUUAUUUUAGACAUUGUUUUUCACAUCCUCAAGCAAGCAACUUACAUGUAGCAAGUACAUGCAAAGGAUUAUGAACAUGUAUAUGAACAUUGUUCAAUAUUCAUUAACAACAUGACAAUGUAUAUGUUCAUAUUUCUCACUCUACAAGAUUUCACAUAUAUGCAACAUUUUAGGCCCAAAGUAUUAUGAACAUGUUAUACUUACAUGCUUGGGUCCCUCUAAUACAAUUUUCUAUCUCGAUCUUGCUAGGUUUUUUGUUGUUUGUUCACAUUUUUUUUUAGUACACCAACUACUGGAAUGGGUUAUUGAUAUUGAACAAUGUCGAGCAUUUUACCUAGUUGAGUUUAAUGAAUAUUUUAUUUAUGUUUGUGGUUUAUCCUUCUAAUGUUGACUAUCAUAUAUGUGUCUUAGUAGUCAUUUACAACUUUUGGUCUUGAAAUGGAGAUACCCUACAACUAGUAGAUCUGUUACCACUUUCCUAUUCUAAACUAAUGGAGCUUUGUACCUUAUGUUUGAUGCUUGUCUGUAGCUCUCAUGGACGGAGCUAUAACACCCCAAUUAGUCCCACCACAUCGGAAGUGGGCAAAGACUAAGAUUGACUUGUAAGAAUUUGAUGAGUAUACUACUGUUAGCUUCAGCUUAAGUAUUUUGAGCUAGUGGUUUAAGUUCAAUGAAGUUAAUUGACUAGCUCUCUCAUCAGGCUGGGUCGUGAGUAUUGGUAUCAUAGCCAACCUAGUAUAGGGGCACGGUGAGGGGCUCGAGUAGGAAAAGACUAUCCGUGGAUGGGUAACACGUCACAACAUGGAGCCACUUCAAAGCCAAAGAAGCAUUAUAAUUCAAUGGCUAUAAUCCUUGUGAUGCAGGUUAGCCAUCCACAUUGAAUUAUUAUCAAAUGCUAACACGUCACAACUUUAUUUAUAAUCCUUAGGCCAAUCAGAAAACGAUGCAGUUCUAUUGACUCGAAAAUAGUGUCAUUGAUGCAACCCAAAAAUGUAUUCCUUCAACAUUGUUGAACACUUCUUUCUUUACCCGUACUAUUUUUUGCAUGUACUGCCAUGUUUUGUUUUAGUAUGGAAGUUCUGUAAGUUUUGGAACCAAACACUGUGAGAGGCAAACUUUGACCCCCAAAGCAUAAUGUUGUAGAAACUAAUGCAAAAUGCCUAGUGUGAUCUUUGAGUGAAGCAUGGUAGAAGCGUAUCUAAUGUCACUUGACAUCUCUAGAAUGAUUUUUGAAACAAUAAUAAAACCUAGUCUUUGCAUGAUUUUUCUGUUUUGAAAUUUCUUAUUGUGUAUAAUUUAUUUUUACUUAGUUGGGAUGUGACCGUAAGAUUACUCCUCUGUGAACUGUGAUCAAUAAUGAGAAUUUUCUUGUAAAGUUAGGAUAAUAUACAUUUAACAUAAUCUAAUAAUAUUAGGAGUCUUGUGCAUUAGACUGAUAGUUUCAUGUUUUGUUUCUAGUCAGGAAGUGGACUUCAUCUAUGGAAUUAGAUUGAAAGGAAGCCCCCCAAGAACAGAUUUACGUAACAUCAAUUUUGUUUUUUGUUUGGGUGUGUUUCGUUUCAUUCUAUAUUGUCUAAUUAAUUGAAGGAAGGCUAUUUUUAUUUUUCAGUUUCACCCACCACAUCCAUGACGUCCCAUCGAGAAGGGCGUUUACUCCUUCCUGCGCGGGCUGCUGCUAGGGGCCGUGGCGAUGCUCGACUCGGCACUCUGGUACUCGUCGCAACGAAACUGAAGCAACUUGAUCCGGUGAGCCAAGACAAAGGACCAGGUUUGGAGGAGGGGGAUGCAACUCUUGUGGAGCAUAGUAAUGAUGGCACAGGCAGCAUUGCUGGGAUGGGUUGUGCUGUAGACCCAUUUUGGGAGCCGCAUCACCUUGGAGGGAUUCGACGGCGUGCCCUGGCAGAGGUAUUCCAUUGUGGGGACUGACACCAAUGGCGGCAUCGAGUCUAAGGGUGGUGGUGCUGGCUCUUGGUGGGGCAUUGCCACCACGUUGGUUGCCGCCAAGGUUGCCAUGAGGACAACAGCGACCAGCUCCAUAUUGGAUAUAUAUAUGGAGAGAGAAAGAGAAAUAUUUGUGAUAGAGAACUUGUGGGGAAGAGGUAAGAGGGAGAGAGUAUUAAUUCUGCACAUCCACUUAAAGCAGUGUGAUUGAGAUUGUUCUUGUUGUUUUAGUAACUGAACUGUACCCAAUGGUAACUCAAAAUAAGACGUUAUAAUUGUGACAAAUGUUAUGGUAUGGAUCUAAUGUUAAAA
RNA transcript from Musa acuminata AAA Group (dessert banana), 4077 nucleotides. RefSeq lists it as uncharacterized. The transcript is spliced from 2 exons. NCBI's taxonomy places the organism in Eukaryota, Viridiplantae, Streptophyta, Magnoliopsida, Zingiberales, Musaceae. The record is from RefSeq and is a predicted model, not a curated record.